RNAcentral lists this ribosomal RNA (407 nucleotides) under uncultured bacterium. Its description in RNAcentral is "partial 16S ribosomal RNA". It matches the Rfam family "Bacterial small subunit ribosomal RNA", at positions 28 to 526 of the family's 1533-position model. The record is from RNAcentral.
GACGAACGCUGGCGGCGUGCUUAACACAUGCAAGUCGAGCGGAGCGGCGGACGGGCGAGUAAUGCCUAGGAAUCUGCCUGGUAGUGGGGGAUAACGUCCGGAAACGGGCGCUAAUACCGCCUAAUAUCAGAUGAGACUAGGUCGGAUUAGCUAGUUGGUGGGGUAAAGGCCUACCAAGGCGACGAUCCGUAACUGGUCUGAGAGGAUGAUCAGUCACAAUGUAACUGAGACACGGGCCAGACUCCUACUGGAGGCAGCAGGGGGGAAUAUUGGACAAUGGGCGACAGCCUGAGCCAGCCAUGCCGCGUGUGUGAAGAAGGUCUUCGGAUUGUAAAGCACUUUAAGUUGGGAGGCGUUACCAACAGAAUAAGCACCGGCUAACUUCGUGCCAGCAGCCGCGGUAAUAC